GACGAACGCUGGCGGCGUGCCUAAUACAUGCAAGUUGAGCGCUGAAGGUUGGUACUUGUACCGACUGGAUGAGCAGCGAACGGGUGAGUAACGCGUGGGGAAUCUGCCUUUGAGCGGGGGACAACAUUUGGAAACGAAUGCUAAUACCGCAUAAAAACUUUAAACACAAGUUUUAAGUUUGAAAGAUGCAAUUGCAUCACUCAAAGAUGAUCCCGCGUUGUAUUAGCUAGUUGGUGAGGUAAAGGCUCACCAAGGCGAUGAUACAUAGCCGACCUGAGAGGGUGAUCGGCCACAUUGGGACUGAGACACGGCCCAAACUCCUGCGGGAGGCAGCAGUAGGGAAUCUUCGGCAAUGGACGAAAGUCUGACCGAGCAACGCCGCGGGAGUGAAGAAGGUUUUCGGAUCGUAAAACUCUGUUGGUAGAGAAGAACGUUGGUGAGAGUGGAAAGCUCAUCAAGUGACGGUAACUACCCAGAAAGGGACGGCUAACUACGUG
This 497-nucleotide ribosomal RNA is filed under the name uncultured bacterium. Its description in RNAcentral is "partial 16S ribosomal RNA". It matches the Rfam family "Bacterial small subunit ribosomal RNA", at positions 28 to 507 of the family's 1533-position model. The record is from RNAcentral.